GUGCUCUCUUCGGCAGCACAUAUACUAAAAUUGGAAUGAUACAGGGAAGAUUAGCACGGCCCCUGUGCAAGGGUGACCUGCAAAUUUGUGAAGUGUUCCAUAUUUUU
This 107-nucleotide small nuclear RNA is filed under the name Chinchilla lanigera (long-tailed chinchilla). The record is from RNAcentral. Lineage: Eukaryota; Metazoa; Chordata; Mammalia; Rodentia; Chinchillidae.